AAUAACACACACCUCGCACCGGAGCGCGGAGGCGGUCACGCCGUAAAACGCCCAACUUUCUUAGAGUUGACCUCGGAUCAGGUAGGAAUACCCGCUGAACU
Molecule: ribosomal RNA, 101 nt
Filed under: Clavicipitaceae sp. CZ-g-02
Lineage: Eukaryota; Fungi; Ascomycota; Sordariomycetes; Hypocreales; Clavicipitaceae
Description: Paecilomyces sp. CZ-g-02 partial 28S ribosomal RNA
Source: RNAcentral